Molecule: ribosomal RNA, 510 nt
Filed under: uncultured bacterium
Lineage: Bacteria
Description: partial 16S ribosomal RNA
Rfam family: Bacterial small subunit ribosomal RNA
Source: RNAcentral
GACGAACGCUGGCGGCGUGCCUAAUGCAUGCAAGUCGAGCGGACUUAAAAAGCUUGCUUUUUAAGUUAGCGGCGGACGGGUGAGUAACACGUGGGCAACCUGCCUGUAAGACUGGGAUAACUUCGGGAAACCGGAGCUAAUACCGGAUAAUCCUUUCCUACUCAUGUAGGAAAGCUGAAAGACGGUUUACGCUGUCACUUACAGAUGGGCCCGCGGCGCAUUAGCUAGUUGGUGAGGUAACGGCUCACCAAGGCGACGAUGCGUAGCCGACCUGGGAGGGGUAUCGGCCACACUGGGACUGAGACACGGCCCAGACUCCUACGGGAGGCAGCAGUAGGGAAUCUUCCGCAAUGGACGAAAGUCUGACGGAGCAACGCCGCGUGAGUGAUGAAGGUUUUCGGAUCGUAAAUCUCUGUUGUUAGGGAAGAACAAGUACGAGAGUAACUGCUCGUACCCUGACGGUACCUAACCAGAAAGCCACGGCUAACUACGUGCCAGCCGCCGCCGUAA